RNAcentral lists this long non-coding RNA (1004 nucleotides) under Hordeum vulgare. Its description in RNAcentral is "long non-coding RNA (HVUL_LNC020229)". The record is from RNAcentral. Lineage: Eukaryota; Viridiplantae; Streptophyta; Magnoliopsida; Poales; Poaceae.
AAACGAAAAAAACGAGAUAAUGGGAGCCCGGCUAACAAGGGUCGCAAGUUUGUUCCCAUGUACCACCAACAGACCAAGUUAUAUUACAGCAGCUGCUAAAUCCAACAAAGGAACAGCCAUGAAACAAGUGACAAGAUGAAGGGAAGAACCAGCCGUUACUCCCAUUCUACCAGCUACAUAUAGCUAAGCUUACACACACAAAAAAUGUCUAUAAACUGAAACAAAACAAAAAAAGGCUAACUACAAAAUUGAAAUGGUUUGCGCAGAGAUGCGACGAUCCUAAGCUCGAUCCUCGAUGCACGCGUCUACCAUAUGAUCCUGUGUGUACCCUCGCUGCUUAGAUGCUCCGGGACGAUCCAGCCCGUUCGUGACUGAAAUCAACAGCAAAGAAGUAUAUUCAGUUCACAGUGCACAACGGGACGAACAAGGAAGCAGACACAGAUACAGAGUUGCGUGCGUGCGUACCAUUUUAUCUGUUGUGGAUGGGAUUCCAGAAGGAGCGCGGUAUCUUCCGGCGGCCAAAGCUCGCGCCGGCGUUCCUGAAGGGCUUCCUAUCGCCGUCGACCCGCAUCCGCUGCUCGGACUUGUGCGUCGACGGCGGCGACACCAGCAGCNAAGCCAUCUUACUCGGGGGUCGGGUCUCUGCUCUGCUCUGCCGCUGUGGUAUGUUUUUCUGGGACAGCGUGCAACGAGGAAGGAAGGAAGGGUAGUGGGCGAGGUGUGGAGUGGAUCGGGGUGCUGAUCUAAUUAACCAAAGGAUCAAGCCGGUGAGAUGGGCAUGGGCUCGAUCAUGUGCUAACCAAAUUGUCUAAUCCGCUUCCCAUGGGGAGAAGUCAGGCCGUGGUGUGUGUGUGUGUGAUCGCUGUCAUGUGCGUGCUGCGCCUUUGACUGUACUGCUAAACCCUUUUUCUGCCUUGGACCAAGAGUGACAACCGCAGCGUUUAGUGGUUGGUUCCAUACAGGGAAUGCAUUUCUUAAAGCUCGCAAUCAUGUGUGUCUUGCCG